UAUGUAUAAAUACAUGAACUGAAUUGACUCAACAAUUACUUAGUGAACAUUAUGUGCCAAGAUCUACCUAAAGAUUCUUAUCCAUUUGGAGCUCAUACUUUAAUUACAGGGUCAGAAAAUAAGCAAAUCAAAAGUAAAAUAUAUGUCGGGAUAAAAUUUAUGAGGUAAAAUAAAGCUGGGGAGGGGAAUAAAGAAUUCUUAGGGGAGAGAUUUUUAUUUUUUUUUUUUAAGGCGUUCAGGGAAGGCCUCCCUGUGAAGCUGACAUGUCAAAGGAGUCAGGGAGUGAGUCAGGCAGAUACCAGAGGGAAGAGCAUUCUGGGCAAGAGGAAGAGUAAGUGUGAAGGUCCUGAGCUAGGUGCAUGGUUGUGCAUUGAAGGAUCACCAAGAUGGCACAAGUGGCUACAGCAGAUUGAAUCAAGAAAGAAGAUAGCAGCUCAGCUCAUCAGUAAAUAUGAACUCUUCCAGAACUGAAGUCUGCCUAGAUCUCUCACUAUUCUCUGACAGAAUUCAUCUCAUUUCCCACUUGCUUUAGAGCCAGAGAAGCCAUCAACCCAGAAGUGCCAAUGAGUGAAGAAAUAAUGGAUGAAAAUUUGAUGAAACUUCCCAAAUGUGAUGAAAGAUAUGAUGUAAACAUCCAAGAAGCUCAAUGAGCUCCAAGUAAGAUGAACUCAAAAACCCGCAAUGAAACACAUUGUAAUUAAUCUAAGAGAAAGAGAGAAUCUUGAAAGUAGCAAGAGAAAAGCAAAUUGUUACGUGGAAGAAUCCUCAAUAAGAUUAUUAGCAGAUUUCUCAUCAGAAACUGGAGGCCAGAAGACCAUAAACCAAUACAUUCAAAGUGCUUUUAAAAAGUGGCAUUAUUGUCCUUCAAAAGUUAGGAGGAAAUUAAGACAUUCCCAGAUAAACAAAAGCUGAAAGAGUUCAUGACCACUAGACACAUCCUGUAAGAAAUGCUCAAGAGAGUCCUACAAGGUGAAAAGACACCGGAAACUAACUUGAAUCUGUAGGGAGAAAUAAAGAUCUGAACACAGGCAAUUAUAAAAGCUAGCAUAUCACUGUAGCAAUGGUUUUAAAGAGCACUUUUUGUUUUCCAAUACAUUUAAAGAAAAACAAAGCAGUUAAUAAUACAGUUUCAUCCUGUUGUGAUCAGAGAAGAUACUCUGUAAGACAGCUAGCUUUUAAAAUCUUACUUAUUAAGACUUACUUACUUAUUAC
Molecule: long non-coding RNA, 1212 nt
Organism: Prionailurus viverrinus (fishing cat)
Lineage: Eukaryota; Metazoa; Chordata; Mammalia; Carnivora; Felidae
Exons: 3
Source: RefSeq, a predicted model, not a curated record